UUUCCGUAGGUGAACCUGCGGAAGGAUCAUUAAUAAUUAGUGUAUUAUGGAGCUUUUUUAAAUACAUAUCCACCUUGUGUGCAAUGUCAGGGUUGAUUUGUAUCUCGGGAGGAUCAGCCUCAAACAACAACUAUAUCUCAACUCUUUGUCUGAAAAAUAUUAUGUAUAAAACAAUUCAAAAUACAACUUUCAACAACGGAUCUCUUGGCUCUC
Molecule: unclassified non-coding RNA, 213 nt
Filed under: plant metagenome
Description: partial contains small subunit ribosomal RNA, internal transcribed spacer 1, and 5.8S ribosomal RNA
Source: RNAcentral